This 494-nucleotide ribosomal RNA is filed under the name uncultured bacterium. RNAcentral's name for it is "partial 16S ribosomal RNA". It matches the Rfam family "Bacterial small subunit ribosomal RNA", at positions 28 to 507 of the family's 1533-position model. The record is from RNAcentral.
GACGAACGCUGGCGGCGUGCUUUACACAUGCAAGUCGAACGGUGAAGCGCCUUCCUUUUUGGUGGGUGUGGAUGAGUGGCGAACGGGUGAGUAACACGUGAGUAACCUGCCCCCUUCUUCUGGAUAACCGCAUGAAAGUGUGGCUAAUACGGGAUAUUCUGGGUCUGUCGCAUGAUGGGUCUGGGAAAGAUAUUGUUUCGGUGGGGGAUGGGCUCGCGGCCUAUCAGCUUGUUGGUGGGGUGAUGGCCUACCAAGGCGGUGACGGGUAGCCGGCCUGAGAGGGUGGACGGUCACACUGGGACUGAGACACGGCCCAGACUCCUACGGGAGGCAGCAGUGGGGAAUAUUGCACAAUGGGCGCAAGCCUGAUGCAGCGACGCCGCGGGAGGGAUGGAGGCCUUCGGGUUGUGAACCUCUUUCGCCAGUGAAGCAGGCCUGCCUCGUUUGUGGGUGGGUUGACGGUAGCUGGAGAAGAAGCGCCGGCUAACUACGUG